This 465-nucleotide ribosomal RNA is filed under the name uncultured bacterium. RNAcentral's name for it is "bacterial SSU rRNA". It matches the Rfam family "Bacterial small subunit ribosomal RNA", at positions 340 to 786 of the family's 1533-position model. The record is from RNAcentral.
UACGGAAGGCAGCAGUGGGGAAUAUUGCACAAUGGGCGAAAGCCUGAUGCAGCUAUGCCGCGUGUAUGAAGAAGGCCUUAGGGUUGUAAAGUACUUUCAUCGGGGAGGAAAAAACAAAACUAAUAAUUUUAUUUCUUGACGUUACCCGAAAAAGAAGCACCGGCUAACUCCGUGCCAGCAGCCGCGGUAAUACGGAGGGUGCUAACGUUAAUCAGAAUUACUGGGCGUAAAAGAGCACGUAGGUGGUUUUUUUAAAGUCAGAUGUGAAAAUCCCCUGGGGCUUUAACCUAGGAACUGCAUUUUUGAAACUGAAAAUACUAGAGUAUCGUAGAGGGAGGUAGAAUUCUAGGUGUAGCGGUGAAAUGCGUAGAUAUCUGGAGGAAUACCUGUGGCGAAAGCGGCCUCCUAAACGAAUACUGACACUGAGGGUGCGAAAGCGUGGGGAGCAAACAGGGAUUAGAUACC